GUGUCUUCAACAAGAAUCAGUUGGGUCUUCUAGGUCCCACAUCUAGAGCUCUAUCCUUUCUGAAGUCAUCAACAUGAAUCCUCUGUCAACAUCUUAGUCCCUUGGAAAGGCAUCCUUGGGUUGAACCACAAAGCUAUAAAAAGGACUGAGCUUCUCUGAGAAAUAUAGUUGGUGAUGGCCAAGCAAGCUCCAGAUAUAUGAACCUAGGGAUCAGGAUUAUGGGCUGCUAGACAAAACAAUGUCCAAGUCCUUUUCCAACUCAAGACUUCAUUUUGCUGAUGUGGAAACUGAGGCCCAGAAAGGGAAGUGUUUUGCCCAGGAUCCUACAGAUGGCUCACCUGGUUAGCCCACCUGCUUGGCUGCUGCCUGCCUACUUCUGUGCUCCAGCAAUCCAGACCUGCUUGAGCCAGAUCGCUCUCCUGGCCCCUGCCCCAGUUCCAGCCCCAGCCCCAGCCCCAGCCACUGCUCACCACCCCAGGCCCAGUCCCAGGACCCAGGCUGCUGGUAGCUGUCCCAAUUUCUUCAG
This 526-nucleotide long non-coding RNA is filed under the name Monodelphis domestica (gray short-tailed opossum). Its description in RNAcentral is "lncRNA (ENSMODG00000049529.1)". The record is from RNAcentral. Lineage: Eukaryota; Metazoa; Chordata; Mammalia; Didelphimorphia; Didelphidae.